Molecule: transfer RNA, 72 nt
Filed under: Verrucomicrobia bacterium LW23
Lineage: Bacteria; Pseudomonadati; Verrucomicrobiota
Rfam family: tRNA
About the family: Transfer RNA (tRNA) molecules are approximately 80 nucleotides in length. Their secondary structure includes four short double-helical elements and three loops (D, anti-codon, and T loops). Further hydrogen bonds mediate the characteristic L-shaped molecular structure. tRNAs have two regions of fundamental functional importance: the anti-codon, which is responsible for specific mRNA codon recognition, and the 3' end, to which the tRNAs corresponding amino acid is attached (by aminoacyl-tRNA synthetases). tRNAs cope with the degeneracy of the genetic code in two manners: having more than one tRNA (with a specific anti-codon) for a particular amino acid; and 'wobble' base-pairing, i.e. permitting non-standard base-pairing at the 3rd anti-codon position.
Source: Rfam by way of RNAcentral
GCCGACUUAGCUCAGCGGUAGAGCAGCAGUUUUGUAAACUGUCGGUCGCGAGUUCGAUCCUCGCAGUCGGCU